GAGCUGGGAAGAGUCCCGCCACCGCUGAGGGCCUCUGGGCCUUCUGGGUCUUAGACUGCAGCAGCCUCCAAGCUCCGCUCCACUGCACAUCCGUGGUGCCAGUUGUUUCUCCAGGCAGCUGUAAGACACAGGUUCCUAAAUCUAGAUGUUCGCAGUUAAAGGAAGCCUUGUAGCACAGCAAAUGGCC
RNAcentral lists this long non-coding RNA (187 nucleotides) under Mustela putorius furo (domestic ferret). RNAcentral's name for it is "lncRNA (ENSMPUG00000025755.1)". Lineage: Eukaryota; Metazoa; Chordata; Mammalia; Carnivora; Mustelidae. The record is from RNAcentral.